AGCAGCCGCGGUAAUUCCAGCUCCAAUAGCGUAUAUUAAAGUUGUUGCAGUUAAAAAGCUCGUAGUUGAAUUUCGGGGUCAGUAGGUUGGUCGUGCCACCGGUAUGCACUGGCCUCACUGAUUCCUCCUUCUUGUAGAACCGUAAUGCCAUUAAGUUGGUGUUGCGGGGAAACAGGACUGUUACUUUGAAAAAUUGAGUGUUUAAAGCAAGCUAACGCUUGAAUACAUUAGCAUGGAAUAAUGAAAUAGGACGAACGAUCCUAUUUUGUUGGUUUCUAGGAUUGACGUAAUGAUUAAUAGGGAUAGUUGGGGCAUUAGUAUUCAAUUGU
This 329-nucleotide ribosomal RNA is filed under the name uncultured Glomus. Its description in RNAcentral is "SSU rRNA". It matches the Rfam family "Eukaryotic small subunit ribosomal RNA", at positions 569 to 905 of the family's 1831-position model. The record is from RNAcentral. Lineage: Eukaryota; Fungi; Glomeromycota; Glomeromycetes; Glomerales; Glomeraceae.